CUGGAAUCUGCCGAGUGACGCACACCCGCCCUUAUUUAUAGGGCUGCUGGAUACGCAGGCCCCGCCCACAAAAACUAAUGUGUCCCUCCGCCUCCCAAAGUAGUCCCCAGGAAAAGGUCCCUGUUGUGGCGCGCACUCGCCUUUUCCCCACUCUAAUCCCUCUUCCGCAGGCAAAGGGGUCCCAGAGUUUCAGCGAGGGGGAAUCAGACCCUAAAAAAUCGGCAAAUUUCUGAGGGCGCGGAUGGAUCUGGGACCGUUUUUCGCCCCGGCGCUGCGACCAGGCGUUGAACAGGAAGCUUUGAUCGGUUGUGAAGUAGCCACCGUCUGUGAAGUGAUGUGGAAACGUGCCUCGGGUUAAUUAAACUUCAUUAUACCUUUCAGACAGGCUCUGAACUAAUUUUGUACCGUAUUAAAGAUGGAGUGCACGAAAUCCAA
This is a non-coding RNA of Agelaius phoeniceus (red-winged blackbird), 435 nucleotides long. The record is from RefSeq and is a predicted model, not a curated record. Lineage: Eukaryota; Metazoa; Chordata; Aves; Passeriformes; Icteridae.